CUCAGUCCCAUGAAACUGUGGCAUCAGCUCUUCAAUCCUCAAACUGUGUCCUGAUAGAGUUGGAUCUGAGUAACAAUGAUGUGCUGGAUUCAGGAGUGAAGCUACUAGCUGAUGGACUGAAGAGUCCAAACUGCCAGCUGGAGAUACUGAGGUUGUCUGGCUGUAUGGUGACAGAGGAAGGCUGUGGUUAUUUGUCUUCAGCUCUGAAUUCAAAUCCCUCACAUCUGAGAGAGCUGGAUCUGAGCUACAAUCACCCAGGACCAUCAGGAGUCCAGCUGCUCAAACACAAACUGGAUGAUACAAACUAUAAACUGCAUAUACUCAAUUUAGAUCAUGGAGGCCACUUCAGAAUCACAUCAGGACU
Long non-coding RNA from Carassius auratus (goldfish), 364 nucleotides. RefSeq lists it as uncharacterized. The record is from RefSeq and is a predicted model, not a curated record. NCBI's taxonomy places the organism in Eukaryota, Metazoa, Chordata, Actinopteri, Cypriniformes, Cyprinidae. The transcript has 3 exons.